GACGAACGCUGGCGGCGUGCUUAACACAUGCCAGUCGAACGGAAAGGCCCUGCUUUUGUGGGGUGCUCGAGUGGCGAACGGGUGAGUAACACGUGAGUAACCUGCCCUUGACUUUGGGAUAACUUCAGGAAACUGGGGCUAAUACCGGAUAGGAGCUCCUGCUGCAUGGUGGGGGUUGGAAAGUUUCGGCGGUUGGGGAUGGACUCGCGGCUUAUCAGCUUGUUGGUGGGGUAGGGGUUUACCAAGGCUUUGACGGGUAGCCGGCCUGAGAGGGGGACCGGCCACAAGGGGACUGAGAGACGGCCCAGACGCCUACGGGAGGCAGCAGUGGGGAAUAUUGCACAAUGGGCGGAAGCCUGAUGCAGCAACGCCGCGUGCGGGAUGACGGCCUUCGGGUUGUAAACCGCUUUCGCCUGUGACGAAGCGUGAGUGACGGUAAUGGGUAAAGAAGCACCGGCUAACUACGUG
RNAcentral lists this ribosomal RNA (468 nucleotides) under uncultured bacterium. Its description in RNAcentral is "partial 16S ribosomal RNA". It matches the Rfam family "Bacterial small subunit ribosomal RNA", at positions 28 to 507 of the family's 1533-position model. The record is from RNAcentral.